CUGCAGGCUGGUGCUGCUGUGGCUCUGGCAGCCCCUGGCCGGGCUCCCACGUCCCCUCCCGUCUUGUGGCGUGGUUUGUCUUUGUCUCUGUUGGCACUGCUGCUCUGGGACACCUAAAUAAGAGAGAACCACAGCCCAGCCAUCACCAUACACUGGAAGGAAUUAUUAGCAGCAUUUCAGUGCAUUACUAUGCCAAAAAGGUGCCUUUGGAAGAUAGAAAUAAAUUGGAAGCGUGGGGAUUCAUUGUGAUAUGCCUGCCACAGGUGUAAUGUGUAUUCCGGCUCAGAGGAAUUCAGCCUCUUGGUUUCAGCCGUGGGAAGCGGAGGCGUGCUCGGGAGGUGGGAGGAUGCUCCGGGGGACCAAGCGAGCAUCCUGCCAGCGGGCAAGCUCAGCUCCUGGGGCGCCCACGCCAGGGUGGGUAACAUCUACGACCGGCCGUGUGCAGGGUGUGCGCUUUCACACGUAGUCAGCAACAGAGGGGUAGAAUAAAUCACGUUUGUUAACUAAUAUGGAAAAUGAAGCUCUGUUUAGAAAACGUGUGGAUAAAUAGAGACUAUGCCUUUUAUAUGUGUGUGUUACUGCUUGGGUGUAUAUUAGUUACUGGUUGACAUAGCUUACAAAACUGCCCCAUCUCAUCACCAUAGCAGCACUAACACCAAUAGCAGUAUUUGGGCUGUUGUGGUGAGGGGGGUGAGGGCCCAGAUAUUGUAGCAUCUUUGACAGUGAGCAAUCCCUUCUUGAGAGAGACGCUUGUAUGUACAGACUGCCUACACAUGGUCAGCUCUGAGCCUGGAUGUAUAGGCAUAUGGAUGCAAACACAUAUUUUGUAAAAGCAUUUGUAAGUACAUCAUGAUUAUCCCUAUAAACUAAAAUACCUGUAUUCA
Molecule: long non-coding RNA, 884 nt
Organism: Gymnogyps californianus (California condor)
Lineage: Eukaryota; Metazoa; Chordata; Aves; Accipitriformes; Cathartidae
Exons: 3
Source: RefSeq, a predicted model, not a curated record